UUCACAGGUGUUGGUCCUUAAUAAACACCAUGCUUCUCUUACUUUGUGCCAUAACUGGCUCCAGGAGGUCCCAGCUUCCAACAGCAAAGAAAGAGGAAGGCUUUAUGUCGUAUGUGAUAAUAUUCCAAGGCUUCUCCUUGGACACCGAGGAGGUGAGGGUCCUUGAGACCUGGUAGGGAUGGAUCUCAUGUCCUGUGAGCAAGGGACAACUUUGGCAUCUUCACUGAAUGAUCUGCAGGUAUAAUUUUUGCAGAAUAAAAGAAGGCUUCUCAGAAGAGGAACCCUUGAGUGGUUGAGCAAGACUGGAAGCUGGCCUGGCAGACACGUGGAAGAAGGCAUCUCAGGCUUGGCAGACAAUCUGAGCAACUGCUUCUGGGUUUUGGGGAAAGAACGGCUGAUGAACCUGGACGCAGAGGCAGAGAACUCAUGAAAAGUGUAAAAGAGGAAACUGAGGAGAAAAAAACGUAAAUAGAUUUGCCAAAGCCAGCAACCUACAGAAGAAUCUCCUUCUGAAUUUCCAGCUUCAAAGGACAAGAUGAACAUGAAAACACACAAGUUUUCAAAGCUAUAAAGACCUUUUGGGAAUGUUUAUAAAAUUGAGCUGUAGUGCCUUGCUCUUGCAUUAAUUUCCAAAGUAGGCAUACCUUCUAAAUAUAAAGAAGUGCAGAUAAUUUGUUUCUACUCAAGGUAAGAGCAAUGCCUUGUAUUCGUCACCAGAA
Sus scrofa (pig) is the source of this 719-nucleotide long non-coding RNA. RefSeq lists it as uncharacterized. The record is from RefSeq and is a predicted model, not a curated record. NCBI's taxonomy places the organism in Eukaryota, Metazoa, Chordata, Mammalia, Artiodactyla, Suidae.